Molecule: ribosomal RNA, 492 nt
Filed under: uncultured bacterium
Lineage: Bacteria
Description: partial 16S ribosomal RNA
Rfam family: Bacterial small subunit ribosomal RNA
Source: RNAcentral
AUUGAACGCUGGCGGCAUGCUUUACACAUGCAAGUCGAACGGUAACAGGCCUUCGGGUGCUGACGAGUGGCGAACGGGUGAGUAAUGCAUCGGAACGUACCCAGAGGUGGGGGAUAACGCAGCGAAAGCUGUGCUAAUACCGCAUGUGAUCUGAGGAUGAAAGCGGGGGACCGAGCAGCAAUGUUUGGCCUCGCGCCUUUGGAGCGGCCGAUGUCGGAUUAGCUAGUUGGUGGGGUAAAGGCCUACCAAGGCGACGAUCCGUAGCUGGUCUGAGAGGACGACCAGCCACACUGGGACUGAGACACGGCCCAGACUCCUACGGGAGGCAGCAGUGGGGAAUUUUGGACAAUGGGCGCAAGCCUGAUCCAGCAAUGCCGCGUGCGGGAAGAAGGCCUUCGGGUUGUAAACCGCUUUUGGCAGGAACGUAACGGUGUCCGCUAAUACCGGGCGCUAAUGACGGUACCUGCAGAAUAAGCACCGGCUAACUACGUG